Long non-coding RNA from Hemiscyllium ocellatum (epaulette shark), 467 nucleotides. RefSeq lists it as uncharacterized. NCBI's taxonomy places the organism in Eukaryota, Metazoa, Chordata, Chondrichthyes, Orectolobiformes, Hemiscylliidae. The record is from RefSeq and is a predicted model, not a curated record. The transcript is spliced from 3 exons.
GUGAACAGCAACAGUGUGAGUGAACACCUCAAAAUUUCACCAGAUGAUCUGGAGAUAAUUUCCACUGAGAGUCAUGGGGGUCUGCCGCUGUUGGGAUGUUGGUUGCUGAGAAUCUAAGAAGAUGAAAGUGGACUGACAGCAAGCCCAUAUUUCAAUGAGGGCUGUGGUGGAGCAGACCAUGGGGCUGUGAAGAGCUGCUGAGGAAUUGUAAAUGAAAGUUAAAUAUUUUCAUGAGGACUGAGAGACCGAAGAUUCCUGACUACAAGUGUAAUGGAUCCAUACCUUAAAAGGAACAUAAAAUGUUCAUGGAGGCUUUCAUUAGCUGUCCAAUUAUGUAUGUAUACAGAUAAACAGAAGUGGAAAUCAGUUUACAUAACAAAAGAGUUCUGUAUCCAAUACAAUUGAUAAAAAGGGCAUAUAAUAUUUAAUUCUGCAUUAUUUGAACCAAAUGCAUCUUUUGAUGUGAA